UACAGAGGGUGCGAGCGUUGUCCGGAAUCACUGGGCGUAAAGGGCGCGUAGGCGGUCUCUUAAGCGUGUGGUGAAAGCCCGGGGCUCAACUCCGGGUCGGCCGUGCGAACUGGGGGACUGGAGCGUAUCAGAGGCGGGCGGAAUUCCGGGUGUAGCGGUGGAAUGCGUAGAGAUCCGGAAGAACACCGGUGGCGAAGGCGGUCUGCUGGGCAGUUGCUGACACUGAGGCGCGACAGCGUGGGGAGCAAACAGG
RNAcentral lists this ribosomal RNA (253 nucleotides) under uncultured bacterium. RNAcentral's name for it is "partial 16S ribosomal RNA". It matches the Rfam family "Bacterial small subunit ribosomal RNA", at positions 524 to 776 of the family's 1533-position model. The record is from RNAcentral.